GAGGAUUUGAAGAUUUUAGGCUGUAUUUUAACACUAUGAAUGUUAAAUACGGAGCAAAAGGGAAAGCAACUCCGGAAGAACACACCUCAGAUGAAGCUCAGAUCUAUUGCUGCAAUUUUCCAUGGGUUGCUGCUGCUGUUCUCUGCCUGAACAGAAUCCAGUCCCAACCAUCCUGUAGCAGGAGGAAUUACUUCAUGGACGAGGUGAGAGAAGUGGAACCAGCCCAAAGAAAAAGCAAUACUACAGCAUCCGAAAAUGGAGAAAACUGAAGAGACCGUUCUUCAAUCUGUGACUGCAAAAAGAUGUUGUGUGGAAUGGAGGUCACCUGAAAGCCAGGAUCCCUGAGAACAAAGGAAACCUCUUCAUUUUCUUAAUGUCACCUCAACAACCCCUAAACAACAAGAGAGUUUUUCUCUUGUUGAGGUCACAAUGUCUAUGGUAUUUUGUUAUGGAAGCUGCAGCUGAGGAAAGUACCAGUUGUUUAUCAGUUAGUAGUUUUUGUUUCUAAUAGCAGAAGUUGCCAUUGACCCACUCAUGGAUGAAAGGGGAUGUAUUGAAAGGAGUCUGAGGAGUGCAGAGAAUUACAUGGAACUCAGAAUGACAAGAACCUACAAGUGUUUCUCAUAUUUACUCUGAGUCAGACAUGCAGUUAAAAACUGGGUCAUUAUCCUUCCAGGGAUUUCUGUUAAAUGCCCAACCUCUCUCCAGUCUGGUAUAUCUUUGCUUAUGAUGCUAGUCUUCUUCAGAAAGAAAUUAAUUGUUCUUCGAGUUCAAUUGAUUUGGAAUGUAUAGUGCAGGAUUUGCAAAAGUCAAUUUCAAAAGGACUUUCUUAAACUUUUCUGUCUUUAAAUUUAAUUUUCAAUAUGGCUCAGGCAUUUUAACUGAAAGAAGAGAUGGUGGCAGAAAACAGUUUACAUACCAGAAAUCUGGUCCACAUGCUUCUACAAUAAAUGGUCCUACACACUGUCUUAAUUAGGGCUUCUAUUGCUGUGAAGAGACACCAUGAGCAUGGCAACUCUUAUAAAGAAAACAUUUCAUUCAGUUUGGUCUACAGUUUCAGAGGUUUAGUUCAUUAUCUUGAUGGUGUAAGACAUGGUGCUGCAGAAGGAGUUGAGAGUUCUACAUCCUGAUCUGCAGAUAACAGGAAGCAAGCUGAAUGCCACACUGCACAUAGCUUAAGCAUAGGAGACUUAAAGUCUACCUGUACAGUGACACACUGUCUCCAAAAAUGUCACAUCUAUUCCACAAAAGUCACACCUCCUAAUAGGACCACUUUUUUUCUGUGAGUCAUUUUCUUUUAAACUACCACACAUAUUGAGUCUUCUUGCAAGCCCUUACUUUAAUCAUUUGAAAUGCUAAAAAAUUUAGUAUGUAAUUUUCUCAGUAUGAAAAGAAAAUAUUUAGAAAUUAUAAAAACAAUAUUUGUGUAAAAUCACCUAAAAAAUGGUGCAUUGACAUUGCGUCAGUCAAGCCUUUUUUGUUUGUUUGUUUGUUUGUUUGUUUCACCCCCUAAAUCUGUAAUUCUGAAUAAAGCACUCAGAUGAUGUGAGAUACUUUGGCACCCACCCUCUUCAUUUCAUUGUGACUCUGACCAAUGUUACUGAAUGUAGCUGCACUGCAUGUAUUUUCAUUCCCUCACAUUAUUGUAUGUUAUUCACAGCUCUUUAAAAAUGUACAUGAAGCUAACCUGUAGAUGUUUGGUUACUUCAACGGCUUCAAGCAUGAGUCUAAUUCCUGAAGGAAGUGAUGGCUGGCCACGGCAUAUGCACAUGCUGUCAGCAAGAAGGAACAGUCUGGAGGGGCCACUGAUAAUGACAAUAGGAUGUGUCUCUACUGCAUAUACCAGCUUCAUGGGAU
Long non-coding RNA from Chionomys nivalis (European snow vole), 1857 nucleotides. RefSeq lists it as uncharacterized. Lineage: Eukaryota; Metazoa; Chordata; Mammalia; Rodentia; Cricetidae. The transcript is spliced from 3 exons. The record is from RefSeq and is a predicted model, not a curated record.